CGGGGUCCCAGGCUGUGGCAGGACAAGCCGGGCACUGACCCCUCGGGGAGGCCAGGAGAGGCCUGGCAAGAAGCAGGAGGUCAGGCAGCAACACCCCACUCCCCGCCGGGUCGGGGAGAGAACUGGUGGACGGGGCGUCCUGAGGAAACGCAGCCACAGUACCACGGGGUGGGGAGGCCACCACCGUCCUGGGGCCCAACAGCAGUGGUUCUAACCUGGCCCAGGUCAGGGUGACAUUGGGAAGCGUCCAUGCAGGAAGGCUGCCAGGGAGAAUGGACAGGGUCUGGGAAGCUAUGGGGGUCUGAGCACAGGAUUCCAAGGGGAGGGGCUGGGAUGGAAAAUGAAGGUAGCGGCCCAGGAGCAGCUGGGGCCGAGAGGGACCAGCGGCUGGAAGAUCCCGUGGCCCCAAGGAGCCCUGGACGAGAAGAGGAAAGUGCGCCCCCUCCCCGUGGGUGCAGCCCCACAGGUGGAUGGAGCCCCCUCCCAGCCUGCUCCGUGGUUCUCGUUGGGUGAACGAUCCACAUACCACGCCUGGCAGACCUCACCCUGACCUGCUGGAACUUUCUUUGUCUAGCUGUCUCUUCUCUCACUUGGUUCCUGAGGCAGCCCCCGCCCACUUGUCACCCAUUCUGUACACAAUUUCGCGUGAGAUGCUGAAACUUCCCUUGUUCCUAUGCCUAAGCCAGCUCCCUCCCCGACGCCUGCUCCACACCACCGAAUGGGGGAGCCUGGCCUUGUUUCCCCCCCCCCCAACCUGGCAUUAGCCCUGCCUUCAUGCAGGCCUUCGAGAGUUUACAUUUAGGGUCCCUGUGGGUAGCCCCAGCUGCACAGCAUCCUCUCUCAACCUCAGGUUCCUCCUUCGUGAACUGGGUUGGUGGUGUACAGUGACUGAGGUGAACCUGGCUUCCACCGGGACCCUCCUCCUUGGGACAAGGGGGAUGGCCUUCCUGUAGCCUCUGUUUAAAGUCCAAAGAGAGUCUGAGGCAGCCUUGAGCAGAAGCUGGGCCGUGUGGUCCAUGCCCUCUCAGAUCUCCUGUGACUUCCCAGCUCAGUGGAAAAUGCCAGAAGGAGAACCCUUGCCAGGAGGAGGAGGACUGAGAGCCAGGGCUCGCCAGAUCCAGGGAGAAAGGGGCCAGGCCAGGAAGAGGGAGGGACUCAGGUGGGCCAGGCGAAGGGGGACGACCUGGAGGGGCUUCCAGCCUCUGGUCCCUCUGGCUUCCAGUGUCAACUGGACCAGGAAGGAAGUGUCGGGCCAGAGGAGCUAAGCCUUGUGAGGCCGUGUGGGCUGUGAGUCAGGCCCCCAGCCCCUCGGUGGCCGACACCUGUCAUCCCGGCUGCCCUGGAAUUGCCCGGGAAGCAGAGGAGCCCGAAUUAGCAAGUGACAAGGCUCAGCCUUCCCGCCCAGCACUCUGGGCCAGCGCCCCGUGACAGCCAGCGCCACGAGCCCCCCCUGCCUCCUCCACCCCGUGUCACCAUCUUAAGCCCAUCGGGUGAUGCAGGGCCGGGUUUCCAGCGGCUCAGUCCUGGGAGGAGGUGAGGCAGGGGGCGGAGGGGGCUGGAGCAGAAGAAAUAAAGAAGGGAAAGUAGACGUCCCCCCAUUUCCUGCCACAAACCAGCCUCACUGCCGAGGCCUGAGGAUCAGAGACACCGUGCGGCACAGCAAGUCACACUCGCCCCUGGGGGCAGACACUGCACUCACUGAUGACGGUCCCCCCGGGGAGCUCAAGCAGCUCAGACCCUCUGAGCCUCCGCGUCCUCGUCUGUAAGAUGGGGUGAUGGCGGCGCUGCCUCAGUGGGUACUGGGGGCUUAACUGAGUCACGUGCUCAAAGGCUUUAAGCAAAUGCUUCACAAAUGUGGGCUCGGGUGUUCUCUGAAGCCUCUGACCGACCUGGGAAGCGGCUCGCCGAGGCCCUGGGCACCGGGCCUCUGUGCUCCUGAACCAGCCCUCCCGCUGACGCCUGGACAGGGCGAGUGCUCCGUCCAUAGGGACCAGCCCCGAUUGUCCGCGUUCCCGGGUGAUGCUGAGGCUGCUGUUCUGGGGACCCCACUUGAAGAACCACUGUCGUACUAAACCAGGGCUGCGCUGCAGGAGCCUCGGGGAGGAAGCGGCCAGGAAGGGGCCUUCUCCAUCGGAGGUUCCAAGGAAGUUCCUCCAAGACCCCGGCCAGGGUGAGAAAACUCUCCAAAACUCCGAGGCUGGGCUGAACCUCCUCCUGAGGGUAGGGAUUCCGGGGACCCCGCCCCUUCCACACUGGGGCAGAGGGUGGGCAGCCUGCUGACUCCUCUCUCGCAAGAAAGAGGGGGCCCCUCCUCCAUGUCCUCCUCAGUGUAGGCUCCAAGCCCAAGGUCUCUUCUCUCCUUGUUGGAGGAGUCACCUGCCUGAGGAUUCGCAACCCCACGUCGUGCCUCCACCUGCUCACCGUGGGGCUGCAGGGGACCCCGGACUCCAGACUCACAGCCACACCCAGACUUACCAUAACGGCUGGAGCAGAGGGGGGAAACCAACCAGGGUGUGUGUGGGAGUGAAAUUCAUUAAUCCUCCGGGACAGUGAGUGCCAGGCUUGGUGAGGCCACCCCUUCUGUUCCCGGCUCAGCCGUCCCGUGUGUCUGUGGCGGCACUUUGCAAAACAGGCUCCGCCAACCCUCGAGGGUAUGUUGCUGGCCUUGUCCACAUGUUGGCCUUUGCCCUGAUGGGGCAGAGACAGUGGUGGGUAGAGCUGCUGGUGCGAAGCAGGGACCGAGGAGCCCAGACGGUGCUGGCCGCCGUGUCCCUGUCCCCCACCCUCUCAGCGGGGCAGCCGGUUUUACUGCAGUGCCCUCGGCGAUGCGGGAAGAAGCGUGAAGUGCGUUGUACUGAAUACAGCAGGUGCACACCCUGUGCGGCUGCCAGGUCCCAACGCAGAAGGAAGGCGCACUUGGUGCCGCUCACGUGGCACGUCAUUUCCACUCGAAAGAGGGAGAGAUUGAAAAACUGUGGUCAGUUGGACUUGAAUAUUGGUAGAUGUUUUCUCCAAAAUGAACCAAACGGGCCUGUCGCUUCAAGGAAAACAGCGGAGAGUACUUGUUGUCAGUUAUAAAAUUCAAGCUUUGGGGCCGGCCUGCAGCUGAGUGGUUAAGUUUGUGUGCUCCGCUUCCACGGCCCAGGGUUUUGCUGGUUCAGAUCCUGGGUGUGGACAUGGCACUGUUCAUCAGGCCAUGCUACGGUGGCGUCCCAUAUAGCAGAACCAGAAGGACCCACAAAUAAAGAUAUACAACUACUUACUCGGGGGCUUGAAGAGAAGAAGAAGAGAAAAAAGAAGAUUGGUAACAGUUGUUAGCUCAGGUGCCCAUCUUUAAAAAAAACGAGAAAGUAAAACAACACCAAGAAAAAAAAUCAAGUUUUAUAAAAUUCAAGCUUUUAAGUGAAAACUCAAAUCUUGGAGAAUUCAUAUCCACCUUUGGGAGCUUCACCGUUUUGCAUGUUGCAAAAGUCUCCGUACGCAGAUGCCCCAAUACGUGAUAAGGUCGGCGGUGAUAAUAAAGAACCUGAUUUUUAGAAAUCAUUGAAUGAGGUAGGAAAUGUGUUAACAUUUGGAAGAUCCAUACGACUCAGGGCACCAAUAUUUUCCAGAUGCCCAAGGUGCAGCGUUACAACAUCGUGCCCAGAUGAGAGGUCCACUCUGACGAAACAGACAAUGAGAUGCCGCUGACGGGCUCCAGGUUCCACGCAGCCGCCAAACUUUAAGAAACUCCCACCUGGCGAGUCUUGACCUAGAACCCGAGAAGAAUGUCCGCAACCCUCUGGAAGGCUGUGAAAACGCUCCUCUCUUUUCUGACUACAUACCUGUGUGAGGCUGGAUAUCUUCUGUGUCCUCCCACCAAGGUGCGUUACGACAGAUCGGCUGCAGAGGCAGGUAUGAGAGUCCAGCUGACUCCUAGCAAACCAGAUGUCCAAGAGAUUCAUAAAAACGUAAAACAAUGCCACUCUUAUUAGGUACUUUUAUUUCAUAAUUUUAUUAUGAGACAUUUUAUUUAUAAUAAAUCAUAGUUUUCUUUAUUUUUAUUUAUGUUUGUAUUAUUUAUAACAUUGUAUUUAUAAAAGUAUUUUAUUCAUAUUAACACGUAAGACGGGCCUAUGAUUAUAAUUAUUAAAUGAAUUAAUAUUUUAAAAAUUUCUCAGUUUUCAUUUCUGAUAAGGUAUUUAUUGACACCUCUGACUGACUUAAAAAGUCUUUAGGGUCCUCAGUAAAGAGUGUAAAAAAGUCUUGAGCCCCCAAAUUUGAGAACCACUAUUUCUGGUUUUCGUGGUUGAUUAUCAUUAUUAUUGUCCUGACUCACUUAUGUUAUCUAUCAAAUAAAGUAAAAAACAAAAGCGAUCAAGAAAAAAUGAAGCAUGAUUUUUAAUUCUGUCAAGUGACAGCCGGUAACAGGAAUCAAUCAAGAAAUUCUUAACACCCUGUUGAGUGCGGGAGACGCCACCGCCAGGGAGCUCCGAGGAUUUCACGGGCUUAAUAAAAUGUCCCUAAAAUGACAAGUUAGGGAUGUUUUCAAAAUGAACUGCGUGGAACAGUUUGAGCGGGCAGCUGUGAGUUGUGGUUCAGUCCUUCUCUCCGUAUCUUUGUGAGAAAACUCCGGCUUUGACAGGCGGCCUCCGGGAGCCCAGGUCAGAUCCCAGGAGCUGGGGAUGCAGGUCUCCCCCUCACCACCAGAGGGAGCAUUGGUGCAGGGCUGGAGCAAACGCAGCCGAUCUGACAGCAGUGCUGUGUGACACACAGGCUAUAACCCGAUGCAGCUGUUUGAAAAUGGGUGUCUUUCUUAAGCACCUCCUCCUCGUGUGCAAUCACUCGCGGUAACUCAGGAGGUUCCGCCGGGGGUGAAAUGCACGCUUGCUGCAUUUUCGCAUGCAUUUUUGAAGCAUGAGACUUCUCCGUGCCUCAGACUAGAAUCCAGACAGAAAUGGAGCCUUAUCCUGCUUUGUCGUCCACGUGAAGAUGUGACAAACUCCCCGGACAUCUGUAAUACACGCAAUAAG
RNAcentral lists this long non-coding RNA (5012 nucleotides) under Equus asinus (donkey). RNAcentral describes it as "lncRNA (ENSEASG00005035792.1)". Lineage: Eukaryota; Metazoa; Chordata; Mammalia; Perissodactyla; Equidae. The record is from RNAcentral.